This 394-nucleotide ribosomal RNA is filed under the name Ebriida sp. TAGIRI1 lineage. RNAcentral describes it as "partial small subunit ribosomal RNA". It matches the Rfam family "Eukaryotic small subunit ribosomal RNA", at positions 583 to 975 of the family's 1831-position model. Lineage: Eukaryota; Cercozoa; Thecofilosea. The record is from RNAcentral.
UUCCAGCUCCAAUAGCGUAUAUUAAAGUUGUUGCAGUUAAAAAGCUCGUAGUUGGAUUUCUGGUCUGAUGCCCUGGCCCGCGUCUUAUAGAUGUGUGUGCCGGCUGUGCGUCUGCCAUCCUUCUAGUAACCCUUCCUACCCUUCACUGGGCCGGGUUGGCGAUCUAGAUCUUUUACUUUGAAAAAAUUAGAGUGUUUAAAGCAGGCUUUUGCUAUGAAUACAUUAGCAUGGAAUAAUAAUCUAGGACUUCGGUUCUAUUUUGUUGGUUUCUAGUACUGAAGUAAUGAUUGAUAGGGAUAGUUGGGGGUGCUAGUAUUGAGCGGCCAGAGGUGAAAUUCUUGGAUUCGCUCAAGACUAACUUAUGCGAAAGCAUUCACCAAGGAUGUCUUCAUUA